Molecule: ribosomal RNA, 497 nt
Filed under: uncultured bacterium
Lineage: Bacteria
Description: partial 16S ribosomal RNA
Rfam family: Bacterial small subunit ribosomal RNA
Source: RNAcentral
GAUGAACGCUGGCGGCGUGCCUAAUACAUGCAAGUCGAGCGAACAGACGAGGAGCUUGCUCCUCUGACGUUAGCGGCGGACGGGUGAGUAACACGUGGAUAACCUACCUAUAAGACUGGGAUAACUUCGGGAAACCGGAGCUAAUACCGGAUAAUAUAUUGAACCGCAUGGUUCAAUAGUUAAAGACGGUUUUGCUGUCACUUAUAGAUUGAUCCGCGCCGCAUUAGCUAGUUGGUAAGGUAACGGCUUACCAAGGCGACGAUGCGUAGCCGACCUGAGAGGGUGAUCGGCCACACUGGAACUGAGACACGGUCCAGACUCCUACGGGAGGCAGAAGUAGGGAAUCUUCCGCAAUGGGCGAAAGCCUGACGGAGCAACGCCGCGUGAGUGAUGAAGGUCUUCGGAUCGUAAAACUCUGUUAUUAGGGAAGAACAAAUGUGUAAGUAACUAUGCACGUCUUGACGGUACCUAAUCAGAAAGCCACGGCUAACUACGUG